Molecule: ribosomal RNA, 500 nt
Filed under: uncultured bacterium
Lineage: Bacteria
Description: partial 16S ribosomal RNA
Rfam family: Bacterial small subunit ribosomal RNA
Source: RNAcentral
AUUGAACGCUGGCGGCAUGCUUUACACAUGCAAGUCGAACGGUAACAGGGUGCUUGCACCGCUGACGAGUGGCGAACGGGUGAGUAAUGCGUCGGAACGUGCCGAGUAGUGGGGGAUAACGCAGCGAAAGUCGUGCUAAUACCGCAUACGUACUGAGGUAGAAAGUGGGGGACCUUCGGGCCUCACGCUAUUCGAGCGGCCGACGUCUGAUUAGCUAGUAGGGGAGGUAAAGGCUCACCUAGGCGACGAUCAGUAGCGGGUCUGCGAGGAUGAUCCGCCACACUGGGACUGAGACACGGCCCAGACUCCUACGGGAGGCAGCAGUGGGGAAUUUUGGACAAUGGGCGAAAGCCUGAUCCAGCCAUGCCGCGUGUCUGAAGAAGGCCUUCGGGUUGUAAAGGACUUUUGUCAGGGAGGAAAUCCCUAGUGCUAAUAACACUGGGGGAUGACAGUACCUGAAGAAUAAGCACCGGCUAACUACGUGCCAGCCGCCGCAGUAA